Molecule: ribosomal RNA, 321 nt
Filed under: uncultured eukaryote
Lineage: Eukaryota
Description: partial 18S ribosomal RNA
Rfam family: Eukaryotic small subunit ribosomal RNA
Source: RNAcentral
CCCUUAGAUGUCCUGGGCCGCACGCGCGCUACACUGACAUGUUCAACAAGCCUCCUAGUUCGACAGGAUUUGGGAAAUCUUUGAACGCAUGUCGUGAUAGGGAUAGAUCAUUGCAAUUAUUGAUCUUGAACGAGGAAUUCCUAGUAAACGCGAGUCAUCAGCUCGCAUUGAUUACGUCCCUGCCCUUUGUACACACCGCCCGUCGCACCUACCGAUUGAAUGUUUCGGUGAAGAUUCCGGAUAGGACUUUUUUGAUUUAUUUCAAUUCUGUCUUAAAAGCUAUCUAAACCUCAACAUUUAGAGGAAGGUGAAGUCGCAACA